Long non-coding RNA from Oreochromis aureus, 1116 nucleotides. RefSeq lists it as uncharacterized. The transcript has 5 exons. Lineage: Eukaryota; Metazoa; Chordata; Actinopteri; Cichliformes; Cichlidae. The record is from RefSeq and is a predicted model, not a curated record.
AAACUGCUGGUAAACUGUGUACAGACGUUUUACGUUCGAAUUGCAGAGAAAAAAAAAUUCUGGUAGCAACAUUGUGCAGUAUGAGCGAACCAUUUCACCAAAAAAAGGGGAAGCAAGGCAAGACGUGGCUGCAGCGGUCUGCAGACGUGACUUCUGAUCAAAUUCGAACCUCCUCCUAAAGAAACAAAGAGCGACAUUACAUUGCGGGAUGACGUCACCUGAAAAUGACCAAUAGCGCGGCGCGCUGCUGAGCUGUGUGCCAACCGCUCUUUUUUUCAUGCAGGAGACUCAAGUUGGCUUCGCUAACGGACACAGUUUUGAACUCGUAUAUUAGCGCCAUUUAUUGCUGCUUGGACCACAGCAUCUUCGGAAUUUGUAGACAUCCUGGCAGCUUACAAUUAGUUCGAGGGUGCUGACCCAAAUCUGUGUGGACCAGAACGUACCAAAGAGAACUACAACUCUGCUGUUGAUCGCCUCCAGAUUGACAAUACACCAGACGUCGAAGGAGUGAAGUUCAGACACUGAAUUUGAGCAGAAACCAUAAGGAUACUCAAAGGACCUGUGACUCUCAGGAAAUGCAUCAAAUGAGAGGGACAGAUGAAACAGUUUCAAGACAAUGGCAGGAAAAACAUGCUGAAGAUUGAAACAAACCUUGGCUGGAAAUAUUUGAAGGUAUCUAGCCAGUCCACAAUGAAAGCUUCGUUGCACCCCAUGAGUCUUCUGGCAGAAAUGAUGGCGCCUGUAUUCUUUGGUUUCCUAAACAUCACACCCUGCCUGUUUAUACGAGGCUCUUCAAUUAAGUCUGCACCCAAAGAUUCAAUAAGAGGUAAGCAGUGGUAUUAUUCAAGUUUUGCUAAAGAAAGAUGGACAGGAGACACUAAUCUUAAUCAGCCGAGCUCAGGUUCAUGUCCAGGUGAGCAGUUUCAUAUGCUAUAAAAUGUAGAUUGAAUGAUAGGUCUCAUCACCAUGCAUUCAGCCAUUAACUUCAAGUUCUAUGAUAAAUCAAUAGAAAACUUAAAUACGUUUUCCAACAAAUUAUGAUUGUGAUUAGGGCUGCGUUGUCUAUGUAUCACUUUUACAUAAGUAGAUUUAAAGGAUAACUAUUGCCAAAACGCA